This 376-nucleotide unclassified non-coding RNA is filed under the name uncultured Gammaproteobacteria bacterium. RNAcentral describes it as "contains 16S-23S intergenic spacer region". Lineage: Bacteria; Pseudomonadati; Pseudomonadota; Gammaproteobacteria. The record is from RNAcentral.
UCCGAUUUGUCACCGGCAGUCUCCCAUGAGUCCCCGACCGAAUCGCUGGCAACAUGGGACAGGGGUUGCGCUCGUUGCGGGACUUAACCCAACACCUCACGACACGAGCUGACGACAGCCAUGCAGCACCUGUCUUACGGCUCCCGAAGGCACACCUCCAUCUCUGGAGGCUUCCGUACAUGUCAAGGGUAGGUAAGGUUUUUCGCGUUGCAUCGAAUUAAUCCACAUAAUCCACCGCUUGUGCGGGUCCCCGUCAAUUCCUUUGAGUUUUAACCUUGCGGCCGUACUCCCCAGGCGGUCAACUUCACGCGUUAGCUUCGUUACCAAGGAAUUGCUUCCCCGACAACCAGUUGACAUAGUUUAGGGCGUGGACUAC